UACGGAGGGAGCUAGCGUUGUUCGGAAUUACUGGGCGUAAAGCGCACGUAGGCGGCUUUGUAAGUUAGAGGUGAAAGCCUGGAGCUCAACUCCAGAACUGCCUUUGAUACUGCAUGGCUUGAUCCAGGAGAGUGAGUGGAAUUCCGAGUGUAGAGGUGAAAUUCGUAGAUAUUCGGAAGAACACCAGUGGCGAAGGCGGCUCACUGGCUGGUAUGACGCUGAGGUGCGAAAGCGUGGGGAGCAAACAGGAUUAGAUACCCCGGUAGUCC
This 269-nucleotide ribosomal RNA is filed under the name uncultured bacterium. RNAcentral's name for it is "partial 16S ribosomal RNA". It matches the Rfam family "Bacterial small subunit ribosomal RNA", at positions 524 to 796 of the family's 1533-position model. The record is from RNAcentral.